Molecule: unclassified non-coding RNA, 297 nt
Organism: Erinaceus europaeus (western European hedgehog)
Lineage: Eukaryota; Metazoa; Chordata; Mammalia; Eulipotyphla; Erinaceidae
Gene: 7SK
Rfam family: 7SK RNA
About the family: 7SK was discovered as an abundant small nuclear RNA in the mid-70s but a possible function has only recently been suggested. Two independent studies have found that 7SK RNA binds the CDK9/cyclin T complex (known as elongation factor P-TEFb).
Source: Ensembl
GGAUAUGAGGGAGAUCUGGCAACAUCUGUUACCCCCUUGAUCGCCAGGGCUGAUGUGGCUGAUCUGGCUGGCUAGGGUGUCCCCUUCCUCCCUCACCGCUCCAUGUGUGUCCCUCCUGAAGCUGCAUGCUCAGUGGAAGAGGAUGACCUUCUCUUGAACAGAGUCGGAGCAGUCUUUUGGUAGAGGGUAUCUGAGUAGCUGCUCGCCUCUGCUAGAACCUCCAAAUAAGCUCUCUAAAGGCCCUUGUUUCAAUCCUCAGAACCACCGUAACCCAGAAUUGGGAGUAUUCUGGUAUAU